Molecule: ribosomal RNA, 478 nt
Filed under: uncultured bacterium
Lineage: Bacteria
Description: partial 16S ribosomal RNA
Rfam family: Bacterial small subunit ribosomal RNA
Source: RNAcentral
GACGAACGCUGGCGGCGUGCUUAACACAUGCAAGUCGAACGGUAAGGCCCUUCGGGGUACGCGAGUGGCGAACGGGUGAGUAACACGUGGGUGAUCUGCCCUGCACUUCGGGAUAAGCCUGGGAAACUGGGUCUCAUACCGGUCAGGACCAAUGCCUGCAUGGCUGGUGGCGGAACGCUUUUGCGGUGUGGGAUGGGCUCGCGGCCGAUCAGCUUGUUGGUGGGGUGAUGUCCUACCAAGGCGACGAUGGGUAGCCGGCCUGAGAGGGUGACCGGCAACACUGGGACUGAGAGACGGCCCAGACGCCGACGGGAGGCAGCAGUGGGGAAUAUUGCACAAUGGGCGCAAGCCUGAUGCAGCGACGCCGCGUGAGGGAUGACGGCCUUCGGGUUGUAAACCUCUUUCAGCACCGACGAAGCGCAAGUGACGGUAGGUGCAGAAGAAGGACCGGCCAACUACGUGCCAGCCGCCGCAGUAA